This 464-nucleotide ribosomal RNA is filed under the name uncultured bacterium. RNAcentral describes it as "partial 16S ribosomal RNA". It matches the Rfam family "Bacterial small subunit ribosomal RNA", at positions 338 to 795 of the family's 1533-position model. The record is from RNAcentral.
CCUACGGGUGACAGCAGUAGGGAAUCUUCCACAAUGGGCGAAAGCCUGAUGGAGCAACGCCGCGUGGGUGAAGAAGGUCUUCGGAUCGUAAAACCCUGUUGUUAGAGAAGAAAGUGCGUGAGAGUAACUGUUCACGUUUCGACGGUAUCUAACCAGAAAGCCCCGGCUAACUACGUGCCAGCAGCCGCGGUAAUACGUAGGUGGCAAGCGUUAUCCGGAUUUAUUGGGCGUAAAGGGAACGCAGGCGGUCUUUUAAGUCUGAUGUGAAAGCCUGCGGCUUAACCGGAGUAGUGCAUUGGAAACGGGGAGACUGGAGGGCAGAAGAGGAGAGUGGAACUCCAUGUGUAGCGGUGAAAUGCGUAGAUAUAUGGAAGAACACCAGUGGCGAAAGCGGCUCUCUGGUCUGUAACUGACGCUGAGGUUCGAAAGCGUGGGUAGCAAACAGGAUUAGAUACCCAGUAGUC